RNAcentral lists this ribosomal RNA (253 nucleotides) under uncultured bacterium. RNAcentral describes it as "partial 16S ribosomal RNA". It matches the Rfam family "Bacterial small subunit ribosomal RNA", at positions 524 to 776 of the family's 1533-position model. The record is from RNAcentral.
UACGGAGGGUGCAAACGUUAUUCGGAAUUAUUGGGCUUAAAGGGUGCGUAGGCUGUGCAGUAAGUUGGGUGUGAAAUCCCUCGGCUCAACCGAGGAACUGCGCCGAAUACUGCUGUGCUAGAGGAAGAUAGGGGUAAGCGGAACUGAUGGUGGAGCGGUGAAAUGCGUUGAUAUCAUCAGGAACACCGGUGGCGAAGGCGGCUUACUGGAUCUUUUCUGACGCUGAUGCACGAAAGCUAGGGGAGCGAACGGG